UACGUAGGGUGCAAGCGUUAAUCGGAAUUACUGGGCGUAAAGCGUGCGCAGGCGGUUAUGCAAGGCAGAUGUGAAAUCCCCGGGCUCAACCUGGGAACUGCAUUUGUGACUGUAUAGCUAGAGUACGGUAGAGGGGGAUGGAAUUCCGCGUGUAGCAGUGAAAUGCGUAGAUAUGCGGAGGAACACCGAUGGCGAAGGCAAUCCCCUGGACCUGUACUGACGCUCAUGCACGAAAGCGUGGGGAGCAAACAGG
This 253-nucleotide ribosomal RNA is filed under the name uncultured bacterium. RNAcentral's name for it is "partial 16S ribosomal RNA". It matches the Rfam family "Bacterial small subunit ribosomal RNA", at positions 524 to 776 of the family's 1533-position model. The record is from RNAcentral.